Molecule: ribosomal RNA, 723 nt
Filed under: Clavascidium lacinulatum
Lineage: Eukaryota; Fungi; Ascomycota; Eurotiomycetes; Verrucariales; Verrucariaceae
Description: SSU rRNA
Rfam family: Bacterial small subunit ribosomal RNA
Source: RNAcentral
AAUAGCCACACGGCUGAACCAGCAACUUGGAGGAAUGUAUAACGAAUGUGUCGUAUAAAAUUCUAGAUAGAAAACUGAUAAUGACAACUAUCUAUCUAUUAGUCUUGACCAAAUUACGUGCCAGCAGUCGCGGCAACACGCAGAAGACAAGUGUUAUUCAUCUUUAUUCGGUUUAAAGGGUACCUAGACGGAAAAUCAAGCCAUAGUAGGGACUAAUUUUCUAGAGUUUUAUGGGAAAAAGUCGAAUAUCUGGAGUAGAGAUUUAAUAUUAUGAUACUGGAUAGACGGAUAACGGCGUAGGCAACUUUUUAUGUAAAAACUGACGUUGAGGGACGAAGCCCUGGGUAGCAAGAAGGAUUAGAUACCCUAGUAGUCCAGGGAGACAAUGAUGAGUGCCAUAGGCUAGAUAAAUUAGUCUAUAAAUGAAAGUGCAAGCAUUCCACCUCAUGACUAAAGCGGCAACGCCCAAAUUGAAAUCAUUAGACCGUUCCUGAAACCAGUAGUGAAGUAUGUUAUUUAAUUCGAUGAUCCGCGAAUAACCUUACCACGUUUUGAAUACGAAAAUUGUACAAGUGCUGCACGGCUGUUUUUAGUUAAUGUCGUGAGACUUUGGUUAACUCCUUUAAUUAACGAAAACCCUAGUUUUAUUUGUUUAAAACAGUUCUCCGCUAUAUCGGAUAAGAUAAUAGGGAUUAAGGCAAGUCAUCAUGGCCUUUAUAACGU